CCUACGGGUGGCUGCAGUGGGGGAUAUUGCACAAUGGGGGGAACCCUGAUGCAGCGACGCCGCGUGGGUGAAGGAGUGCUUCGGCAUGUAAAGCCCUAUCGGCAGGGAAGAAGCAAGACGGUACCUGACUAAGAAGCCCCGGCUAACUACGUGCCAGCAGCCGCGGUAAUACGUAGGGGGCGAGCGUUAUCCGGAUUUAUUGGGUUUAAAGGGUGCGCAGGCGGAGGUGCAAGUCAGCGGUAAAAUUGCGGGGCCCAACCCCGUACUGCCGGUGAAACUGCAUCCCUUGAGUGCGCGAGAAGUAUGCGGAAUGCGUGGUGUAGCGGUGAAAUGCAUAGAUAUCACGCAGAACUCCGAUUGCGAAGGCAGCAUACCGGCGCGCAACUGACGCUCAUGCACGAAAGCGUGGGUAUCGAACAGGAUUAGAUACCCCUGUAGUC
RNAcentral lists this ribosomal RNA (440 nucleotides) under uncultured bacterium. RNAcentral's name for it is "partial 16S ribosomal RNA". It matches the Rfam family "Bacterial small subunit ribosomal RNA", at positions 338 to 795 of the family's 1533-position model. The record is from RNAcentral.